UGGGGAAUAUUGCACAAUGGGCGCAAGCCUGAUGCAGCCAUGCCGCGUGUGUGAAGAAGGCCUUCGGGUUGUAAAGCACUUUCAGCGAGGAGGAAGGGUUCAGUGUUAAUAGCACUGUUCAUUGACGUUACUCGCAGAAGAAGCACCGGCUAACUCCGUGCCAGCAGCCGCGGUAAUACUGAGGGUGCAAGCGUUAAUCGGAAUUACUGGGCGUAAAGCGCACGCAGGCGGUUUGUUAAGUCAGAUGUGAAAUCCCCGCGCUUAACGUGGAAC
Molecule: ribosomal RNA, 273 nt
Filed under: uncultured bacterium
Lineage: Bacteria
Description: partial 16S ribosomal RNA
Rfam family: Bacterial small subunit ribosomal RNA
Source: RNAcentral